UACGGGGGGGGCAAGCGUUGUUCGGAAUUACUGGGCGUAAAGGGCUCGUAGGUGGCCAACUAAGUCAGACGUGAAAUCCCUCGGCUUAACCGGGGAACUGCGUCUGAUACUGGAUGGCUGGAGUUUGGGAGAGGGAUGCGGAAUUCCAGGUGUAGCGGUGAAAUGCGUAGAUAUCUGGAGGAACACCGGUGGCGAAGGCGACUACCUGGCCUGUUCUUGACGCUGAGGCGCGAAAGCUAGGGGAGCAAACGGG
RNAcentral lists this ribosomal RNA (253 nucleotides) under uncultured bacterium. Its description in RNAcentral is "partial 16S ribosomal RNA". It matches the Rfam family "Bacterial small subunit ribosomal RNA", at positions 524 to 776 of the family's 1533-position model. The record is from RNAcentral.